AGAGGCGGGAAGGCUGAGGAACUUCUUGAGGCUGUUUGGUAAUGACACAGGAAGAGCCGAGGAAAAGGCUCGGGAGGGGCCAGCCCCCUUCCCCCACCCCCUCUCCUGGCUCCGGGCCUCUCUAGGCUAGGGGCCUGUGCUGGGCACUGAGCACUGGGGCCUGGAAAAAGAGGAAGUUAAGGCGGAGGCGCCUGCUCUGAAGGAAGGAACUGCCACAGUGACAAGUCCAGACAACUUGCCUGCAGGUGAAAGCUGCCUUCUUGUUAAAAAAGAGCCUCUCAACAAUGAACUUACAACCCCCAGAAAAACCUGAAACCCCCAGGGUGCCACCUACCUCUCCAUCAAGGUGAUCUACCAAAAUGCACAUGCUGGACAUCAGGAUGUCUGGAAUACGCUCUGCCAGUUCUGUCAAGAAGGCUGCAAAGCCCUUUGCCCCUGAAGUGUCCCGACUCAGCUCCAAGGGACACUUCUGUCCAAUCUCUCUGUGCAGGGAGAAAACACAGCCAAGCAGGAUAAUUCAGUUCCCAGCGAGAGAAGGUCAGAAUGGUAUCUAACAGCUGAAGGAAUCCAGUGCUGCACAGAGAAUAUACUGUAUUUCCAACCUUUCUUUAUCCUCUCCCUGAGAGAAAUGAGAAUUAGAAACUCAGAGGUGGAAGAAUUACCUUACAAUCUCUCCCACUAUGCUCUUCAUUCCAUAGUCAGUUGCCCACAGACUCACAGCCGCCACUAGCACAGGCGCUAGGUGUUCAAAGUGCUGCAGCAUCUGGAUGAUCUUCACAGUGGCACCUGUGGAAGUUCUGAACAUGAGACUUUAUGGGCAAAAUGAAAAAGUUGGGGCAAAGUGAAGCACUGACUUACUGAGCAUAUGGUUAUAAUGUGUCAAGGCUACACCGAGCAGGUGUGUUAUGGCUUCCCGGGUGGGACGGUUCUUCUGGUGACUAAUGGUGGGGUUCUCCAGAAGGCGG
Long non-coding RNA from Phyllostomus discolor (pale spear-nosed bat), 965 nucleotides. RefSeq lists it as uncharacterized. The record is from RefSeq and is a predicted model, not a curated record. The transcript has 2 exons. Lineage: Eukaryota; Metazoa; Chordata; Mammalia; Chiroptera; Phyllostomidae.